GACGAACGCUGGCGGCGUGCCUAACACAUGCAAGUCAAGGCGGUAGCAAUACCGACUGGCGCACGGGUGCGGAACACGUAGGUAAUCUGCCCUUUAGGGGAGAACAACUCAUCGAAAGGUGAGCUAAAUCUCCGUAAUGUUUAGCUAUGGCAUCAUAGCAUAAACCAAGUUUUCUGAAGGAUGAGCCUGCGUCUGAUUAGCUAGUUGGUGGUGUAAUGGACCACCAAGGCUACGAUCAGUAGCUGGUCUGAGAGGAUGAUCAGCCACAUUGGGACUGAGACACGGCCCAGACUCCUACGGGAGGCAGCAGUGAGGAAUAUUGCUCAAUGGACGAAAGUACUGAAGCAGCAACGCCGCGUGAGGGA
This 365-nucleotide ribosomal RNA is filed under the name uncultured bacterium. RNAcentral's name for it is "bacterial SSU rRNA". It matches the Rfam family "Bacterial small subunit ribosomal RNA", at positions 28 to 408 of the family's 1533-position model. The record is from RNAcentral.